RNAcentral lists this small nuclear RNA (203 nucleotides) under Triticum aestivum (bread wheat). RNAcentral describes it as "snRNA U2". It matches the Rfam family "U2 spliceosomal RNA". From Rfam's summary of the family: U2 is a small nuclear RNA (snRNA) component of the spliceosome (involved in pre-mRNA splicing). Complementary binding between U2 snRNA (in an area lying towards the 5' end but 3' to hairpin I) and the branchpoint sequence (BPS) of the intron results the bulging out of an unpaired adenosine, on the BPS, which initiates a nucleophilic attack at the intronic 5' splice site, thus starting the first of two transesterification reactions that mediate splicing. The record is from Rfam by way of RNAcentral. Lineage: Eukaryota; Viridiplantae; Streptophyta; Magnoliopsida; Poales; Poaceae.
AACGUUUCAAAGCAGGUCUUUUGGCUAAGAUCAAGUGUAGUAUCUGUUCUUAUCAGUUUAAUAUCUGAUAUGUGGGUUACACGCCCACAAUGAUAUUAAAUUUAUUUUUUAUGAGGAAAGGUCCAUUAUAGUAGUAGCUUGCUACUGGGGCCCUCACGUGUCGCUUGGGCAUUGCACUAUUGCCCGGGCUUGGUGCACCCCAA